UUUUGAAGGAACUUUAACACACACUUUUAUACAAAUGCUUUUCUUCCCCCUUUGGAAAAAUGAGAGCAAUAAUUUUGCUUGGGAAAUUUUCCUAUUCUUGGAAUCUUGUCUCACUUUGGACAAGCCUCUUGCCUCUACUGGGUCUCUUGUUCCUUGGCUAUAGAAUGUAGAGUUCGGACUUGAUGGACUUUAAGCUCCCUUUCAUCUUCAUGCUUUUAGAAAUGGGCGCCGGGAGAGGGAGGAGGACGUGAGCCACCCUGAUCCACACGUUCUCCACGCAGGCAGAGAAGACAAUGUAUCUUCACAGCUCUCCCACUGUGUGGCUACUUGGAGGAAAUAUGCUGCCAAAUGAAUGAAGGAAAGAAGGUGGAAUGGUAAUUCCUCAAAUGACAAAAUGAAUUUAUCUACAUUUCUAAUAAUGAAAUCAGCUUCAUCACUGGAAUGGGAUCCUGGUAGCAGACUUCUCAGUCAUCUUGCAGCAAUGUGGGUACCACGGGAUCUUGGAACUGAGCAUACUUUUUAUAGAAAACUCUGAAAGUAGGAUGACCAGAAGACAGCAGCAGGAAUUAAACUAAAGCCAAGAAACUGAGCACAGCUCCUUGGACAAAUCUUAAUCUUGGCUGAUGCCAUAUCUGGUGGGGGUGAGCUGAAGUGUACUUCACUGUGCAUAGAGAGAGAAACCUGCUUUUGAAACUCCUUCCAGAAGCAUACUAUCUUUUCAUUUUUCCACCACAAAGAGAGCUCCCAGAUGAUUAUGCACUCUUCUGCCCAGUGAACAAAAGGAAGCAUAAUCUGGACUAACUACAGGUUGAAUAUCCCAGGUUCUUCUCAGGUUAUGGUUGGCUGAGCUAUACUUAUUGAACACCUGCUGUAAAUAACCAUCAUGAAGAUGAAGCCUUGUAGGUUCCAAUUGUGGUUUACCCACAGAGUGUUCUGGGCAAAUCACUCUGUGAUUCUGUUUUCCGUGUCAUUAAAAGAGGAGAGUAUUACCACCCUCCUAAAAUGGGUAUUGUGAGGAUUAAAUGGAAACAAAAUAGGUUUUGUGGAAAUUGUAAAUGUUACCUUAACACUACACCAAUGUUAGUUAUUUUUUCCCAGUAUCUGAAAUUUGGGAGGAAAGAAUAAAAGACAGAAAAAUGAAAAAGAAGAGGAAGAGAAGGAAGAAGAGAGGGUGUGUGGAUUUUGACCUUGAGAUGCUUAUACAUGUGUGGCAGAGAAACAAAACAAAUGACAUGAAAUGAUGCUGUAAAUUGGGAAACUUUAUACAUUUAGUUGGCUCUGCUGAUUGUUCUAAUUACCAGUUGAUAUGGUUUGGCUGCAUGCCCACCCAAAUCUCAUCUUGAAUUGU
RNAcentral lists this long non-coding RNA (1348 nucleotides) under Homo sapiens (human). Its description in RNAcentral is "HSALNT0393788". Lineage: Eukaryota; Metazoa; Chordata; Mammalia; Primates; Hominidae. The record is from RNAcentral.